Molecule: transfer RNA, 91 nt
Filed under: Streptomyces gardneri
Lineage: Bacteria; Bacillati; Actinomycetota; Actinomycetes; Kitasatosporales; Streptomycetaceae
Description: tRNA-Leu
Source: RNAcentral
GGGUCCCUGCGGCACCGGGACCGGGGUGGGCUCAAGGCCCUCCACGAUCUGCGGGUUGUAGGUGCCCUCGUACGACUCCGGGGAGACCUGC